CAAGAAGCCGAAAGGCUACUUAAAACCAUCGCGAACUUAUCCAAGUUGCUUCGGCGGCGCGGCUCCCCUCACGGGGGACCGCAGCCCCCACCUCUCAGGAGGUAAGGGGCAGCCGCCGGAGGUACGAAACUCUGUAUUAUAGUGGUAUCUCUGAGUAUAAAACAAAUAAGUUA
This 173-nucleotide unclassified non-coding RNA is filed under the name soil metagenome. RNAcentral's name for it is "partial internal transcribed spacer 1". The record is from RNAcentral.